RNAcentral lists this long non-coding RNA (334 nucleotides) under Gadus morhua (Atlantic cod). RNAcentral's name for it is "lncRNA (ENSGMOG00000025677.1)". The record is from RNAcentral. Lineage: Eukaryota; Metazoa; Chordata; Actinopteri; Gadiformes; Gadidae.
UUACUUGAUCUCUCCUCUGUAGCCGUCUGCAGUCUGGCUGCAUCCCUGCUGAGGCAGCGUAUCCAAGGAAUACAGUCAGGAGUAGGGGGUGUCCACAAUCAGGCCAGGGAGGAACAGAACGGCUGAGCUUGUUUGAGGCAAACUACAAGGCAGUGUUCCAGUUUGUAGCAGCUGACAUUUUGGAACCAGUGGCUCAGCAAAAUGGGGAAGCAGCAGAGAUGUAUCAAAGCCAGCAAAUCGUUUGAUCCCAAGACAAAUGCAUUUUAUCCCUCUCCCUUUCUCUAUCUCUGUUAUCUCUGUAGAAAGUCCUAAGUCCACUUUUUUAAAAACUGAC